UACGUAGGGGGCAAGCGUUGUCCGGAUUUAUUGGCGUAAAGAGCGUGUAGGCGGCCAGAUAGGUCUGUUGUGAAAACUCGAGGCUCAACCUCGAGACGCCGAUGGAAACCAUCUGGCUAGAGUCCGGAAGAGGAGAGUGGAAUUCCUGGUGUAGCGGUGAAAUGCGCAGAUAUCAGGAAGAACACCCGUGGCUAAGGCGGCUCUCUAGUACGGUACUGACGCUGAGACGCGAAAGCGUGGGGAGCGAAC
Molecule: ribosomal RNA, 249 nt
Filed under: uncultured bacterium
Lineage: Bacteria
Description: partial 16S ribosomal RNA
Rfam family: Bacterial small subunit ribosomal RNA
Source: RNAcentral